Molecule: non-coding RNA, 182 nt
Filed under: Bacillota bacterium
Lineage: Bacteria; Bacillati; Bacillota
Description: 6S RNA
Rfam family: 6S / SsrS RNA
About the family: E. coli 6S RNA was the first non coding RNA to be sequenced, but its function was unknown until recently. It consists of 184 nucleotides that fold into an extended hairpin structure with a large single-stranded internal bulge. The 6S RNA specifically associates with RNA polymerase holoenzyme containing the sigma70 specificity factor.
Source: RNAcentral
AACGCCCUACUGUGUUCGUGAAGCUGCCGAUAAGUUUUGAGCCAACACCAACACAUAGGGAGCCUGGACUCUGGCUGUGGCUGAUAUGCCCCCAGCGAGGGGACAUCAAAGACACUCAGGAGGGCACCCACCUGCCGAGAGCAGGUUCAAAACAUCGGCCCCACGGCAUGGGUGGGGUUUCC